UAGCUUCAACGGCCGCGGUAUCCUAACCGUGCAAAGGUAGCAUAAUCACUUGCCUAUUAAUUGUAGGCUAGAAUGAACGGGUAAACGAAAUAAAAACUGUCUCUAUCAAUAAUCUAAAAAUUAAUUUCUACAUGAAGAAGUGUAGAUAUUAUCGAAGGACAAGAAGACCCUAUAGAGCUUUAUUAUAAGGCAAAUGUAUAUUGUCCUAAAAUUCGGUUGGGGCGACCUAGGGAAAUUUAAUAUCACCCUAAUAAAUAAAGAUAAAUAUAUCUAAUAACUGACCCUUAUAAGAUCAUGAAAUCAAGUUACCUUAGGGAUAACAGGCUAAUCCUAUUAAAGAGUUCAUAUCGACAAUAGGGUUU
Molecule: ribosomal RNA, 362 nt
Filed under: Diplocardia invecta
Lineage: Eukaryota; Metazoa; Annelida; Clitellata; Crassiclitellata; Megascolecidae
Description: partial 16S ribosomal RNA
Rfam family: Bacterial large subunit ribosomal RNA
Source: RNAcentral